AUAUUCUUGAACCCCUGACCUCCUGCUUUCAAGUGAUGGGGUUCUAAGAAUCUGCAUAAU
Molecule: microRNA precursor, 60 nt
Filed under: Mus musculus (house mouse)
Lineage: Eukaryota; Metazoa; Chordata; Mammalia; Rodentia; Muridae
Description: microRNA mmu-mir-2183 precursor
Source: miRBase by way of RNAcentral